This 187-nucleotide ribosomal RNA is filed under the name uncultured Gammaproteobacteria bacterium. Its description in RNAcentral is "partial 16S ribosomal RNA". It matches the Rfam family "Bacterial small subunit ribosomal RNA", at positions 335 to 509 of the family's 1533-position model. The record is from RNAcentral. Lineage: Bacteria; Pseudomonadati; Pseudomonadota; Gammaproteobacteria.
GGCCUACGGGAGGCAGCAGUGGGGAAUAUUGGACAAUGGGCGAAAGCCUGAUCCAGCCAUGCCGCGUGUGUGAAGAAGGUCUUCGGUAUUGUAAAGCACUUUAAGUUGGGAGGAAGGCGCAGUAAAUUAAUACUUUCGCUGUUUUGACGUUACGCACGAAAUGGNGUCNCCGGGCUAANAAANUNGU